This 468-nucleotide ribosomal RNA is filed under the name uncultured bacterium. RNAcentral describes it as "partial 16S ribosomal RNA". It matches the Rfam family "Bacterial small subunit ribosomal RNA", at positions 28 to 507 of the family's 1533-position model. The record is from RNAcentral.
GACGAACGCUGGCGGCGUGCUUAACACAUGCAAGUCGAACGGAAAGGCCCUGCUUUUGUGGGGUGCUCGAGUGGCGAACGGGGGAGUAACACGUGAGUAACCUGCCCUUGACUUUGGGAUAACUUCAGGAAACUGGGGCUAAUACCGGAUAGGAGCUCCUGCUGCAUGGUGGGGGUUGGAAAGUUUCGGCGGUUGGGGAUGGACUCGCGGCUUAUCAGCUUGUUGGUGGGGUAGUGGCUUACCAAGGCUUUGACGGGUAGCCGGCCUGAGAGGGUGACCGGCCACAUUGGGACUGAGAUACGGCCAAGAGUCCUACGGGAGGAAGCAGUGGGGCAUAUUGCACAAUGGGCGGAAGCCUGAUGCAGCAACGCCGCGUGCGGGAUGACGGCCUUCGGGUUGUAACCCGCUUUCGCCUGUGACGAAGCGUGAGUGACGGUAAUGUGUAAAGAAGCACCGGCUAACUACGUG